RNAcentral lists this non-coding RNA (30 nucleotides) under Cricetulus griseus (Chinese hamster). Lineage: Eukaryota; Metazoa; Chordata; Mammalia; Rodentia; Cricetidae. The record is from RNAcentral.
GUAAGCAGCUGCUUUGGGACAUUGGACUUU